This 3308-nucleotide long non-coding RNA is filed under the name Lactuca sativa (garden lettuce). RNAcentral's name for it is "long non-coding RNA (LSAT_LNC006360)". The record is from RNAcentral. Lineage: Eukaryota; Viridiplantae; Streptophyta; Magnoliopsida; Asterales; Asteraceae.
UCUGACUUCUUGAUAUAAGCACCAUACAUGUCUAAUAAUUGAAGAUGAAGAAGACGAGGCGCCUGGUUCUGGAGAAAUAUGAUCGAUGAUUAACUUCCUUAUGUCUGAAUCGUUUCUUCUAGUAUCCUUUUAUUCUCCUAAAUAUUUUCUUCUAAUUUCCUGUUAAUCCUUUCAAAUUUUAAGAACAUUGUGAAUUGCUUAAGUUUCAAACGGUCCUCCAAUGCUCUAAUCUCUAAUCAGUGUCCUGAAGGGGUGAUUGAAUUAAUCGGUCCUCCUAAAGACCUAAUCAAGUAAGUCUUUUCUAGUGUUUGAAAUUUAUGCAUAACCUACUUGUAGUUGCUAAAAUCUGAUAGUGCUUAUUGAUUAAAAAUUUUGAAAUUUUAGUUUUCUUAUAUAGCUUAGUGGUGGAGUGAAGUAAUUGAUCAAAGUUGUAGUCUUCUUGAUCCAAAAUUGCUAUAAGAUUCAUCAAUUUUUUAGGUAACUUUGUUCUUCAAUUUCUUUUGACUUUUAUAGUUUUAUAAGGCUUUCUGCAAUAACAUUUCUUAAAUUCCUGAUGUAGUUUUUUUUUUUUAAUUUUUGAUUAAUCUGAUAUAUGUCGAAUUUUGUUUGAAAAUAUGAUAUGUAAAUUCCGAUUUUGAAAAGUUUAUAUGUGAAUUUGGUUUUGAAUUUCAAAUAUGUGAAUUUUGAUUUUAAAUAACAAAUGUGUUUUUGAUUUCUGAAUAAUCUGAUGCACAUGAAUACCUGAUGUAUCCUAAAAUCUGAUAAGUUAUUUUAAUCUCUAAAAUUUUGUUGUAUCAGAUUUCUGAAAAUCUAAUGUAUCAUAUUUUUGAAAAAUCUGAUAUGUAAAUUCUUAAAUUGAAAUUAUGAUAUUGAAAAGAGAUGUGUUCUUGAUUUAUGUUUAAUAUGAUGUGGUAUUUUGGAAUAAUCCAAUUAGUUAUUUUAAUUUCUGAAAAUCUGAUGUAUCAAAUUUCUAAAAUUAUCAUUUCAAUUUAAGUUUUGAAAUUAUGAAAUGUUAAUUCCGAAUUUCUGAUACCAUUUUAUGAUUUUGUUUAGGUUGUCAGAUUGAGAUUAUGGAUAGCCAACUUCAGCUUGUAUCAUUCUUUGGUUUUACUAUAUCUUUGUUUAGGUUGUCAGAUUGAGAUUAUGCAAAUGAAAUGGACAUGUAUCCCAAUAUGUUGGUAGCAUAUAAUCUAUUUUUGUUGGUACCAGUCAUAGUUGCUUCAGCAAAAAGAAAUUUUUUUCGCACUUAAAGUUAUUAAAAUUAUAUCUUUGAAGGACUAUCACCCAAUAAAGAUUAAACGGAUUAGCAAUUAUGAGUAUGAAAAAUCAAUUUCUGCUAAGUCUUGAUUAUCAUAAAAUAAGAUAUGGUUUUGCUUCAAAAAAUGCAUAGAGGCAUUGUUUUAGAUAAGUAUUUGUAUGUUUUUGUUUGUAUAACCUUGAUUUAGUUUGUGUAUAAAAUUUAUUUCACUUUUUCUAUAUAUGUAAUUUUUUUAAUAUAUAAGGGCAUUAAUAUAGUAUCUUGCCCCGGGCAUUGAAAAUCAAUGGACCGGCCCUGCUUCUAAUAGAAUUCUAGUCAACUGUAUCAUUUAGACUUCUAAUAGAAUUCUAGUCAACCGGUGAUUGUUUGAGAUUUUAAGAAAUCAUUUAUACCCAUUUUCCCAUAUACUUUUAAUAUUAAUUAAUUUUAUUUGUGUAAGGAUUAUAUAGAAAACUCAAGAAUUUCAUGUAAGGAGAAAUCACAUUUAUUAUACAUGAUUAAUUUGGAUCAUUUGAAGUCGUAUAAGACAGUAUAUACAUAUAUAUAUAUAUAUAUAGAGAGAGAGAGAGAGAGAGAUAGGUUCAAGUAUUUAAAGUAAUUAUUGUGUUAUUGUAUGCAUAAAUAUGGGCCAAUUAAAAUUUAAAAUAUAAAUAAAUAAUUAAAUAAAUAAAAAAUGGUAAUUAGGUAAUUUUAUAAACAACUUCCCCAAAUAUUUUUCUAUAAUUAUGCUAGUUGAUUUUAACCUAAUUUAUCUCCUUUUAAUUACCACCGACAUCACUUUGAAAAACCCUCCGUAGGAUUCGAUCGAAAGUGAACAAGAUCGACUUCGUCUUCGUCUUCAUCUGAUCAGAAAGGAAAGACGAACAGAAGCAGGUAGCGACUAGGUGAUCAGUGGUGGCUACUGUCAAUAGCGGUAGAGUAUCGUCAUCGUCUUCGCCGAUUGAAAAUCUCGCCAUCUUAAUCACACUUUCAACUCUCCUACUGGGGAUCCAUCAUUUAUCUGAUUUUUCACACGCAACCGUAUUAUUUUACACUUCCGAUUUAACCCUAUCAGAGGAGAGUGGAUUCUCGGCCUCGCUUAUAAAAAUUGAUUGAAUCGGAUUGGUUCCAGUCGACAGGCAGUGAGAGUGGAAGAAUUGCUUGAGGAUCAAUGUUUUGUGAUUUUGAGAAGUUAGUCGGUGGAGGAAAUAUGAAGCAGGGCAGGCGGAGGCAAUUAAUUGGAGGAAAAUAGCGGCCGGUCGGAGGAGUGCCACGUAAAACGGCUUGAAACUGCCGCCGACUCAAUAUCAGGUACUAUAUAUNNNNNNNNNNNNNNNNNNNNNNNNNNNNNNNUAUAUAUAUAUAUAUAUAUAUAUAUAAAUUUUACAUUAGCAAAUCAAAAAUGAUUUUGGAUAAUGGAAGCUAGCAGUAAACUGUUUUAUAAGUAAAAAAAAUGGUGAAUGAAUCGUUAUACAGAUCAAGAAGAGAUAAGCAUAAAGCAAGUGAAGCACUAGAAACCUGAUUAUUCAACUUAGAUAAAGCACUAGAAACUAGUUAUUGUUGGUUCAUUUUUUGUUUCUUUUUCGUUGUUGGUUGCUAUGGUUUUAUGUGGCAGAUAAUUUUGUCAGUUGGUAUGUAGUGUAUUCAAUGGAUGAUAUUUGUGAGAUUCCAAUUUUAUUGGAAUGGAAUCAUGAAUUUCAAUUCUGUUGGAAUGGAAUCAUGAACUCUAAUUCUGUUGGAAUGAAGUAUGGAUAUUUUCUCACUGAUUUAUGUAUGUUCUACAAUUUUUGGUUAUUGAUUUUGGUGCAAUUCACAAGUCCACAUGUUUUUCCAAAGGAAUUUAGUUUUUUAUUUUUCAUUUGCUAAUGCAUUAUUGGAAUUUAAACUACAAUUUGGUUUUGUUUUCACAGAAAUUGAUGCUUAGAACGGACCACAAAAUUGAAAGUGAUUCUAAGCAACAUUAUUAUUUUAGAAUGUAUUAGUGUCAUUGUUAGAUUUUGAUGUUUUCUUUCCCGUUUUGAAAGUUUUUUCUGUUUUAUUCUUUAACAAUAAAUAUAAUUCUUAACAAUUG